RNAcentral lists this ribosomal RNA (355 nucleotides) under uncultured bacterium. RNAcentral's name for it is "bacterial SSU rRNA". It matches the Rfam family "Bacterial small subunit ribosomal RNA", at positions 1 to 334 of the family's 1533-position model. The record is from RNAcentral.
CUAGCGACUUCAGAGUUUGAUCCUGGCUCAGGACGAACGCUGGCGGCGUGCCUAACACAUGCAAGUCGAACGGGGUUAUUAUGGAAGGCUCUUCGGAGACGGAAGGUUUAACUUAGUGGCGAACGGGUGAGUAACGCGUGAGAAACCUGCCUUUCAGUGGGGGACAACAGUUGGAAACGACUGCUAAUACCGCAUAACAUAUUUUAGGGGCAUCCCUUUAAUAUCAAAGCUUUAUGUGCUGAAAGAUGGUCUCGCGUCUGAUUAGCUAGUUGGUGAGGUAACGGCUCACCAAGGCGACGAUCAGUAGCCGGUCUGAGAGGAUGAACGGCCACAUUGGGACUGAGAUACGGCCCAG